This is a long non-coding RNA of Biomphalaria glabrata, 1298 nucleotides long. RefSeq lists it as uncharacterized. The record is from RefSeq and is a predicted model, not a curated record. The transcript has 3 exons. NCBI's taxonomy places the organism in Eukaryota, Metazoa, Mollusca, Gastropoda, Planorbidae.
AAACCCUGCCUACUCCCAUCCCCCUUCGUCCUGCGGGAGGUUUGGCGUAGGAAGUAAACUAUCCUCAACUAUAAAGGAACAUCCGAAACAUGUAAGACAUUUUACAAACAAACAUUUUACAAAUACUAAAUAGCAGCGCCGGACUUAACCAUUGUGAUCAAAAAGUCAUGGAAAGAGAACAAGUAAUCUACUAUGCAUAUUCACCCGUAACUUAAUAGCAGGGCCGGACUUAACAAUUGUGGGGCCCUAUGCGAAACGGAUUUCGCGGGGCCAAGUUUGGGAAGUCUGCAGCGCAAAAAAGCUUUUGAAAAUUUGAAUGCUCGGUGGUAUGCAGGUCGUCAGCUGACUUGUAUAUUUGUCAAUAUUGUGUCCUGGAAGUCUGCUAUAUGUGAUAAUGAGAGCGUCAUGUGGCCAGCACAGUGACCAACUGCCUACUUUUCCCCCAAAAUGUCAUGUACUUCAUUAGGAGUUGAGACCGGAACAAAGAGCGUGACCUCUCAGCCACCAAGCCUCCUCGUGUUCUCUUUGUUUGGGUGAUAUUUUCUUGUAGUAUUUUCUUGAAAUGUAGUAUUCUCACAAGUCCACUACUUACAACAUAUUACAAGACAUUUGAAAUGAGUAUAGGAAGAACAAAGUUCCUUUGAUACGUUUAAUCAACACUAGAGAGAAUUUAGUCUGAGUCACUGUCUGUCGUAAAAGAUGUUUGCUAAUGUAAAUUUGACACCUAAGUAUUGUUCAAACCAGCAUGUAUAUUUUUAAUUUCAUAUCAUUCUCAAUGCUGAAUCUCAUAAGCCUGCCUAUAAAAUGAUUUUUAUGUUUAACAAUGUACUCUAGCUGCAUUCAAUCAGCCAAAAAGUAAAAAGUUUUACUGUAACGGUAAGAAUAAUAAAAAUGAAGCCAAAAAGCUGUUAAUGCUCACAUUAAAUGAUAAUAGUUAAUUUACACUUUACAUUUUUUGAUAAAAUUAAAGAUAUUCAUGUCCAUGAAACCAUUUUUUUAAAUGCAAUUUUCAUUCUUUUAGGACUGGCCUAAAAAAAAAAAACAAUACUACAAAGGAGAGCCCCGUAACUUUUUACAUGUGUUUAGAAACCCUGGUGGAGAGUUUACAGAGUUAGAUUAUGAUAAAGACAGAGUCAGCUCAGAGAGGCAUUAGUCAACAGACUCGGUACGAUAUCACCAGUCUAGAAGACAAUCUUCUUCAUCAUAUCAGUCAUCAAGUCACAGAUCACGCUCUCCACCUUAAUCUAGGUCCCGUUCAUCAAGAAAGUCAUCCCACUACCAGAUCAAAGUAAUCGCAC